AUACGGAGGAUGCGAGCGUUAUCCGGAUUUAUUGGGUUUAAAGGGUGCGUAGGCGGGCUGUUAAGCGUGAGGUGAAAGCUCGGGGCUCAACCCCGGAACUGCCUCGCGAACUGGCGGUCUUGAAUGUCCGUGCCGUGGGAGGAAUGUGUGGUGUAGCGGUGAAAAGCAUAGAGAUAACACAGACCACCGAUUGAGAAGGCAACUCCCGAACGGGAGAUUGACGCUGAGGGCCGAAAGCGUGUGGAACAAAAAGGAUUAGAUACCCGGGUAGUCCACGCAGUAAACGAUGAUAACUAACCGCUGGUGCGCAAGUAUCAGUGCCAAGCGAAAGCGAUAAGUUAUCCACCUUGGGAGUACGACCGCAAGGUUGAAACUCAAAUGAAUUGACGGGG
Molecule: ribosomal RNA, 392 nt
Filed under: uncultured bacterium
Lineage: Bacteria
Description: partial 16S ribosomal RNA
Rfam family: Bacterial small subunit ribosomal RNA
Source: RNAcentral